GACGAACGCUGGCGGCGUGCCUAAUACAUGCAAGUUGAGCGCUGAAGGUUGGUACUUGUACCAACUGGAUGAGCAGCGAACGGGUGAGUAACGCGUGGGGAAUCUGCCUUUGAGCGGGGGACAACAUUUGGAAACGAAUGCUAAUACCGCAUAAAAACUUUAAACAUAAGUUUUAAGUUUGAAAGAUGCAAUUGCAUCACUCAAAGAUGAUCCCGCGUUGUAUUAGCUAGUUGGUGAGGUAAAGGCUCACCAAGGCGAUGAUACAUAGCCGUCCUGAGAGGGUGAUCGGCCACAUUGGGACUGAGACACGGCCCAAACUCCUACGGGAGGCAGCAGUAGGGAAUCUUCGGCAAUGGACGAAAGUCUGACCGAGCAACGCCGCGUGAGUGAAGAAGGUUUUCGGAUCGUAAAACUCUGUUGGUAGAGAAGAACGUUGGUGAGAGUGGAAAGCUCAUCAAGUGACGGUAACUACCCAGAAAGGGACGGCUAACUACGUG
Molecule: ribosomal RNA, 497 nt
Filed under: uncultured bacterium
Lineage: Bacteria
Description: partial 16S ribosomal RNA
Rfam family: Bacterial small subunit ribosomal RNA
Source: RNAcentral